RNAcentral lists this ribosomal RNA (439 nucleotides) under uncultured bacterium. Its description in RNAcentral is "partial 16S ribosomal RNA". It matches the Rfam family "Bacterial small subunit ribosomal RNA", at positions 339 to 795 of the family's 1533-position model. The record is from RNAcentral.
CUACGGGUGGCACCAGUGAGGAAUAUUGCUCAAUGGGGGGAACCCUGAUGCAGCAACGCCGCGUGGAGGAUGACGCAUUUCGGUGUGUAAACUCCUUUUAUAUGUCAAGAAAAUGACGGUAGCAUAUGAAUAAGCACCGGCUAACUCCGUGCCAGCAGCCGCGGUAAUAUGGAGGGUGCAGGCGUUACUCGGAAUCACUGGGCGUAAAGGACGCGUAGGCGGGUUGGAAAGUCAGGUGUGAAAUCCUACAGCUUAACUGUAGAACUGCACUUGAAACUUCUAAUCUAGAGUAUGGGAGGGGGAGAUGGAAUUAGUGGUGUAGGGGUAAAAUCCGUAGAUAUCACUAGGAAUACCUAAAGCGAAGGCGAUCUCCUGGAACAUUACUGACGCUAAGGCGUGAAAGCGUGGGGAGCAAACAGGAUUAGAUACCCCGGUAGUC